Molecule: ribosomal RNA, 560 nt
Filed under: uncultured bacterium
Lineage: Bacteria
Description: bacterial SSU rRNA
Rfam family: Bacterial small subunit ribosomal RNA
Source: RNAcentral
CCUACGGGAGGCAGCAGUGGGGAAUCUUAGACAAUGGGGGCAACCCUGAUCUAGCCAUGCCGCGUGAGUGAUGAAGGCCUUAGGGUCGUAAAGCUCUUUCGCCUGUGAUGAUAAUGACAGUAGCAGGUAAAGAAACCCCGGCUAACUCCGUGCCAGCAGCCGCGGUAAUACGGAGGGGGUUAGCGUUGUUCGGAAUUACUGGGCGUAAAGCGCGCGUAGGCGGAUUAGAAAGUUGGGGGUGAAAUCCCGGGGCUCAACCCCGGAACUGCCUCCAAAACUGCUAGUCUAGAGUUCGAGAGAGGUGAGUGGAAUUCCGAGUGUAGAGGUGAAAUUCGUAGAUAUUCGGAGGAACACCAGUGGCGAAGGCGGCUCACUGGCUCGAUACUGACGCUGAGGUGCGAAAGUGUGGGGAGCAAACAGGAUUAGAUUCCCUGGUAGUCCACACCGUAAACGAUGAAUGCCAGUCGUCGGAUAGUAUACUAUUCGGUGACACACCUAACGGAUUAAGCAUUCCGCCUGGGGAGUACGGUCGCAAGAUUAAAACUCAAAGGAAUUGACGG